Melanotaenia boesemani (Boeseman's rainbowfish) is the source of this 1028-nucleotide long non-coding RNA. RefSeq lists it as uncharacterized. The record is from RefSeq and is a predicted model, not a curated record. NCBI's taxonomy places the organism in Eukaryota, Metazoa, Chordata, Actinopteri, Atheriniformes, Melanotaeniidae. The transcript has 14 exons.
AGUCUUGUCGGCGGACAUAAAACCCAAAUGCGACGGUUUCUUCUUCCACUUCCUUCUGACAUCUAGUUGAGAUGAACUACCCAAUGCGCAGUACCAGUAAAGGUGCGAGGAUUGUGUUGCAUCCUACAUGAGUUGUUCAAAGCUUCUUCUUUUGAAGAUGAGACAUAGGAACCUAUGCAGGAUGGCCUUCACUCUGUCUACAGUGCUCCUCAAAGCAGCUGGAAAGGUGGAGGUUCUACAUGACUUCUCUGAGUGGAGAUUCCUCAUUAUGUGACCUCUGUAGUGUCUGGUUUGAAAGUGAUUACCCUUAAGAUUCAUGGUGGUUCAGCUGCUUCUGUGCCACGGAUAUGGUCCCGUUAAAGGUCUCUGAAUUUGGUCGCAAAGCUGCCGUCAUCCUGGUGGAGGGGUACCUGUCCAGCCAUGAAGAUUGGAUGAGAGUGAAGCAAGUGGGCAGGAUGUCUAUCGAGGUUCACUCUUCAUGUCCCAAGGGGUCUGUUGUCCUUCUGCAUUCAAGACUGGUCUAGAGGUGAGGAAGCCCAUAUCAUAAAGUUACCAGGAUCGUGCAAAUGAUGAAGCCUGAGUUAACAGUCGACUGUCCCUCUCUUGGCAACGACUCCUGUUGACCCAGUAUGGCACUGAGGACCCUGUCUGUUCCCAGGUGUAAGGUGACCUGCUGGAGUUCUGAUGGAGAAGGGAGAUCUGGCAGAGCUUAUGACUGAAAACUAUUCUGAUCACAUCCUGGCAGAGAAGAUGGACAUGCACAUGGACUUGAAGCCCGACGUCGUCACUGGCCUGAUGCUCAGUAAAUACUGGUCAGUCAGAGCUUCGGGUCAUCAUAAAGCCUUGCCGCACCAAAUAUUAUUUUUCUUCAGACAUCGCUGCCGUUGUUGGUGCCUCUUCAUCAUCUGUCACUUUACUGUCUUUAAUGUAUUACUCACAGGCUACAUAGGUUUGUAUCCUGAUUUGCUUAAAUUUGUGGUUUGAACACUUUUCUAAUUUUGUAUUUUAAAUAAAACCUGUUACAGUCA